This is a long non-coding RNA of Camelus dromedarius (Arabian camel), 566 nucleotides long. RefSeq lists it as uncharacterized. NCBI's taxonomy places the organism in Eukaryota, Metazoa, Chordata, Mammalia, Artiodactyla, Camelidae. The record is from RefSeq and is a predicted model, not a curated record. The transcript has 4 exons.
AAAGCUGGGUGGGAGCCUAGUGCUCGCGGACCAGCUCCUGGAGGAGGAACGCGGCCUGGGGUCUGGGCCGCCGCUUGCUGCCGCCGCUGCUUGCUGCCGCCUCCGCUGCCGCCGCUGAGCCGGUUUUAACACAAGUAACAGCGCUACUUCUGAAGCAUUUGAGUCCUCCGCUCCUUCAGAAGAAAGGCGGCCCUUCCCUUAACCAAUCAGAUGAGUCCUUGCGGUCACCUGACAGCGGACACGCGUUCUCAUCGGGGGGGACUCUGCCGCCUUCUGGCCGCCGGCGCGGUGCUCGCCUCAGAUGUGGAAAGACCGAGAAGGCGCGUCCCGACCUGGGGAGCGUGCGGAUUCUGACAGGACUGUCGCCGGCGCUGGAGGUGUUGCCGCAGUCGUGGAUAUGUGGAUACGCAUUUCCCUCAUGUUAAAGCACUUUGUCCUACGGCAAUAGCAGCUUGCACGUGGAUGCCGCCUUCCAGCAGACCCUCUGGAGCGUGGCCCCCAUCAGCUCAGGAAGCGAAGCAGCCAAGGGUAUCUCAUCGGCAGUGACAUCCUCAGGUUGCUUCAUG